GUUGUAUAGUCAAGUAAUUAAGUGCAUGUGGUGGAUGCCUUGGCAGUCAGAGGCGAUGAAAGACGUGAUAGCCUGCGAAAAGCUCCGGGAGGCGGCAAAUAUCCUUUGAUCCGGAGAUGUCUGAAUGGGGAACCCACCUACUUUAAGGUAGGUAUUGCAACAUGAAUACAUAGUGUUGCAAGGCGAACGAGGGGAAGUGAAACAUCUCAGUACCCUUAGGAAAAGAAAUCAAUUGAGAUUCCCUCAGUAGCGGCGAGCGAACGGGGAUCAGCCCAUUAAGUUAUGUGUGUUUUAGUGGAACGCUCUGGAAGUGCGAACGUAGAGGGUGAUAUUCCCGUACACGAAAGGGCACACAUAAUGAUGACGAGUAGGGCGAGGCACGUGAAACCUUGUCUGAAUAUGGGGGACCAUCCUCCAAGGCUAAAUACUCCUGACUGACCGAUAGUGAACCAGUACCGUGAGGGAAAGGCGAAAAGAACCCCUGUGAGGGGAGUGAAAUAGAUCCUGAAACCGCAUGCAUACAAGCAGUGGGAGCACCUUCGUGGUGUGACUGCGUACCUUUUGUAUAAUGGGUCAGCGACUUAUAUUCAGUAGCGAGGUUAACCGUAUAGGGGAGCCGUAGAGAAAUCGAGUCUUAAUAGGGCGUUUAGUUGCUGGGUAUAGACCCGAAACCAGGCGAUCUAUCCAUGAGCAGGUUGAAGGUUGGGUAACACUAACUGGAGGACCGAACCCACUGUCGUUGAAAAGCCAGGGAUGACUUGUGGAUAGGGGUGAAAGGCUAAUCAAGCCUGGUGAUAGCUGGUUCUCCCCGAAAGCUAUUUAGGUAGCGCCUCGGACGAAUACCAUAGGGGGUAGAGCACUGUUUCGGCUAGGGGGUCAUCCCGACUUACCAAACCGAUGCAAACUCCGAAUACCUAUGAGUACUAUCCGGGAGACAGACUGCGGGUGCUAACGUCCGUAGUCAAGAGGAAAACAAUCCAGACCGCCAGCUAAGGCCCCAAAAUCAUAGUUAAGUGGGAAACGAUGUGGGAAGGCAUAGACAGCUAGGAGGUUGGCUUAGAAGCAGCCACCCUUUAAAGAAAGCGUAAUAGCUCACUAGUCGAGUCGGCCUGCGCGGAAGAUGUAACGGGGCUAAAACUAUGUGCCGAAGCUGCGGAUGUAUACUUUGUAUACGUGGUAGGGGAGCGUUCUGUAAGCCGAUGAAGGUGUGUUGAGAAGCAUGCUGGAGGUAUCAGAAGUGCGAAUGCUGACGUGAGUAACGACAAAACGGGUGAAAAACCCGUUCGCCGAAAGACCAAGGGUUCCAGUCCAACGUUAAUCGGGGCUGGGUGAGUCGACCCCUAAGGCGAGGCCGAAAGGCGUAGUCGAUGGGAAAAUGGUUAAUAUUCCAUUACUUCUGUGUAAUGCGAUGAGAGGACGGAGAAGGCUAAAUCAGCCUGGCGUUGGUUGUCCAGGUGAAAGGAUGUAGGCAUGUAUCUUAGGCAAAUCCGGGGUACUCUAUGCUGAGAUCUGAUAGCAAGCUGUACUUGUACAGCGAAGUGGUUGAUGCCAUGCUUCCAGGAAAAGUCUCUAAGCUUCAGUUACACAGGAAUCGUACCCGAAACCGACACAGGUGGUCAGGUCGAGUAGACCAAGGCGCUUGAGAGAACUCUGCUGAAGGAACUAGGCAAAAUGGUACCGUAACUUCGGGAGAAGGUACGCUGUUGUUGGUGAUGGAACUCGCUUCCUGAGCUGACGACAGCCGCAGAAACCAGGCCGCUGCAACUGUUUAUUAAAAACAUAGCACUCUGCAAACACGAAAGUGGACGUAUAGGGUGUGAUGCCUGCCCGGUGCUGGAAGGUUAAUUGAUGGGGUUAGCGUAAGCGAAGCUCUUGAUCGAAGCCCCAGUAAACGGCGGCCGUAACUAUAACGGUCCUAAGGUAGCGAAAUUCCUUGUCGGGUAAGUUCCGACCUGCACGAAUGGCAUAAUGAUGGCGGCGCUGUCUCCAGCAGAGGCUCAGUGAAAUCGAAAUCGCUGUGAAGAUGCAGUGUACCCGCGGCUAGACGGAAAGACCCCGUGAACCUUUACUGCAGCUUGACACUGAACUUUGACCUUACUUGUGUAGGAUAGGUGGGAGGCUUUGAAGCUGGAACGCUAGUUCCAGUGGAGCCGUCCUUGAAAUACCACCCUGGUAAUGUUGAGGUUCUAACUCUGUCCCGUGAUCCGGGACGAGGACCGUGUCUGGUGGGUAGUUUGACUGGGGCGGUCUCCUCCUAAAGAGUAACGGAGGAGUACGAAGGUGCGCUCAGCGUGGUCGGAAAUCACGCGUAGAGUAUAAAGGCAAAAGCGCGCUUAACUGCGAGACCCACAAGUCGAGCAGGUACGAAAGUAGGUCUUAGUGAUCCGGUGGUUCUGUAUGGAAGGGCCAUCGCUCAACGGAUAAAAGGUACUCUGGGGAUAACAGGCUGAUACCGCCCAAGAGUUCAUAUCGACGGCGGUGUUUGGCACCUCGAUGUCGGCUCAUCUCAUCCUGGGGCUGAAGCAGGUCCCAAGGGUAUGGCUGUUCGCCAUUUAAAGAGGUACGCGAGCUGGGUUUAGAACGUCGUGAGACAGUUCGGUCCCUAUCUACCGUGGGCGCUGGAAAUUUGAGAGGAUCUGCUCCUAGUACGAGAGGACCAGAGUGGACGAACCUCUGGUGUACCGGUUGUGACGCCAGUCGCAUCGCCGGGUAGCUAUGUUCGGAAGGGAUAACCGCUGAAAGCAUCUAAGCGGGAAGCCUACCUCAAGAUAAGAUUUCCCUAGGACUUUAUGUCCUCUAAAGAGCCGUUCGAGACUAGGACGUUGAUAGGUUGGAUGUGGAAGCAUAGUGAUAUGUGAAGCUGACCAAUACUAAUUGCUCGUGAGGCUUGACUAUACAACACCCAAGCAGUUG
This 2913-nucleotide ribosomal RNA is filed under the name Acinetobacter baumannii. Its description in RNAcentral is "bacterial LSU rRNA". It matches the Rfam family "Bacterial large subunit ribosomal RNA". The record is from RNAcentral. Lineage: Bacteria; Pseudomonadati; Pseudomonadota; Gammaproteobacteria; Moraxellales; Moraxellaceae.